CUAAUACCGCAUAAGCCCACGGCUCGGCAUCGAGCAGAGGGAAAAGGAGCAAUCCGCUUUGAGAUGGCCUCGCGUCCGAUUAGCUAGUUGGUGAGGUAACGGCCCACCAAGGCGACGAUCGGUAGCCGGACUGAGAGGUUGAACGGCCACAUUGGGACUGAGACACGGCCCAGACUCCUACGGGAGGCAGCAGUGGGGAAUAUUGCACAAUGGGGGAAACCCUGAUGCAGCGACGCCGCGUGGAGGAAGAAGGUCUUCGGAUUGUAAACUCCUGUUGUUGAGGAAGAUAAUGACGGUACUCAACAAGGAAGUGACGGCUAACUACGUGCCAGCAGCCGCGGUAAAACGUAGGUCACAAGCGUUGUCCGGAAUUACUGGGUGUAAAGGGAGCGCAGGCGGGAAGACAAGUUGGAAGUGAAAUCUAUGGGCUCAACCCAUAAACUGCUUUCAAAACUGUUUUUCUUGAGUAGUGCAGAGGUAGGCGGAAUUCCCGGUGUAGCGGUGGAAUGCGUAGAUAUCGGGAGGAACACCAGUGGCGAAGGCGGCCUACUGGGCACCAACUGACGCUGAGGCUCGAAAGUGUGGGUAGCAAACAGGAUUAGAUACCCUGGUAGUCCACACCGUAAAC
RNAcentral lists this ribosomal RNA (628 nucleotides) under uncultured bacterium. Its description in RNAcentral is "bacterial SSU rRNA". It matches the Rfam family "Bacterial small subunit ribosomal RNA", at positions 163 to 807 of the family's 1533-position model. The record is from RNAcentral.